This 1503-nucleotide ribosomal RNA is filed under the name uncultured bacterium. Its description in RNAcentral is "partial 16S ribosomal RNA". It matches the Rfam family "Bacterial small subunit ribosomal RNA". The record is from RNAcentral.
AGAGUUUGAUCCUGGCUCAGGAUGAACGCUAGCGGCAGGCUUAACACAUGCAAGUCGAGGGGUAACAGGGUGCUUGCACCGCUGACGACCGGCGCACGGGGGCGUAACGCGUAACGCGUAUACAAUCUACCUUUUACAGAGAGAUACCCCAGAGAAAUUUGGAAUAAUACCUCAUAAUAUUAUUGCUCGGCAUCGAGUGACAAUUAAAGUUUCGGCGGUAAAAGAUGAGUAUGCGUCCUAUUAGCUAGUUGGUAAGGUAACGGCUUACCAAGGCGACGAUAGGUAGGGGUCCUGAGAGGGAGAUCCCCCACACUGGUACUGAGACACGGACCAGACUCCUACGGGAGGCAGCAGUGAGGAAUAUUGGUCAAUGGGCGAAAGCCUGAACCAGCCAUGCCGCGUGCAGGAAGACUGCCCUAUGGGUUGUAAACUGCUUUGAUGGGGGACGAAACAGGUCUAUGCGUAGGCCGAUGAGAGUACCGUAGGAAUAAGCACCGGCUAACUCCGUGCCAGCAGCCGCGGUAAUACGGAGGGUGCAAGCGUUAUCCGGAUUUAUUGGGUUUAAAGGGUGCGUAGGCGGUCUAUUAAGUCAGCGGUGAAAGUUUUCAGCUUAACUGGAAAAAUGCCGUUGAUACUGAUAGGCUUGAGUACAUUUGAGGUAAGUGGAAUUCCUAGUGUAGCGGUGAAAUGCUUAGAGAUGACACAGAACACCGACGGCGAAGGCAGGUUACCAACCCAUUACUGACGCUGAGGCACGAAAGCGUGGGGAUCAAACAGGAUUAGAUACCCUGGUAGUCCACGCCGUAAACUAUGAUUACUAGUUGUUGGCGAUACAUUGCCAGUGACUGAGCGAAAGCAUUAAGUAAUCCACCUGGGGAGUACGUUCGCAAGAAUGAAACUCAAAGGAAUUGACGGGGGCCCGCACAAGCGGAGGAGCAUGUGGUUUAAUUCGAUGAUACGCGAGGAACCUUACCUGGGCUUGACAUCCCGGGAAUCUUGUGGAAACACGAGAGUGCCUCGAGCAAUGGCCGUAUACGAGGUGCUGCAUGGUUGUCGUCAGCUCGUGCCGUGAGGUGUUAGGUUAAGUCCUGCAACGAGCGCAACCCUUACCUUUAGUUGCCAGCAUUAAGUUGGGCACUCUAAAGAGACUGCCGGUGUCAAACCGGAGGAAGGUGGGGAUGACGUCAAGUCCUCAUGGCCUUUAUGACCAGGGCUACACACGUACUACAAUGGCAUAAACAAAGGGCAGCAACAUCGCGAGGUGAAGCCAAUCCCAUAAAGCCGGUCUCAGUCCGGAUUGGAGUCUGCAACUCGACUCCAUGAAGUUGGAAUCGCUAGUAAUCGCGGAUCAGCACGCCGCGGUGAAUACGUUCCCGGGCCUUGUACACACCGCCCGUCACACCACGGGAGUUGGUUGUACCAGAAGCAGUUGAGCCAACCGUUUACGGAGGCAGGCUGCCAAGGUAUGGCGAGUAACUGGGGUGAAGUCGUAACAAGGUAACC